RNAcentral lists this long non-coding RNA (1743 nucleotides) under Salmo salar (Atlantic salmon). RNAcentral describes it as "lncRNA (ENSSSAG00000110402.1)". Lineage: Eukaryota; Metazoa; Chordata; Actinopteri; Salmoniformes; Salmonidae. The record is from RNAcentral.
AACAGGGAAAUGGUCCCAAUAGUUUUUCCACCAUUCAUUUUUCCCAUAGGGGAUUUUAGGAACACUUAAAAUAAGGGCUGUGUUUCGUUUAGGCUUACCCUGGCGUGAUGUUUUGAUAACCGUGUAAAUCUCUCUUGGACAAGGUGACUUUUAUCAAUAUAAUUUGCCUGUAUUUACCCCCCAAAAAUGAAAUGCUAAUUAGCUGCUAAUGUGGCUAUCAUAAAUAACUACAAAUGCCAUGAUGAUCUGGACGAGACUCGAGGCAACUGUAAGAAUCUCUGGAUUAACUAUCUAAUGUUAGCUAAACAUAGUAAUUAAUAAAUUGGCAAAAUUUCUUUAAAUGGACAAUUCUGUGAACUGCCUUUUGCAAGUUUUAAAUUGACACAAUACCUGUUAGGUGUCAGCUAGAGAUGACGUGCAGGAGCUUGCAGGGAUUUGUAGUUUUGGUCUACUUCGAUGCUAAUUAACAUUUUCGAAUCUGAGAGUGAGUGGAGCCAAAUAUAUUGAUAAAAGUCACUUUGUCCGAGAGAGAUUUACAUGGUUAUCAAAACCUCACUCCAGGGUAAGCCUACAUGAAAGACAGGACUUAUUUUAAGUGUUUCUAAUAUCCCCUAUGGGAAAAACGAUUGGAACAAUUUCCCUGUUUGACCGCUAGGUUUCAUGGGUAUUAUGACACCACCAUUGUGGGGCUCUAUUCAGUACGUUUUUAGAUCUGUUAUAUACUCUGAGAACUUCUGCAAUACUGAAUGAUUAUGCGAAAUACAAGACCUGAGCCCUAGGACCAUGCCUCAGGACUACCUGGCAUGAUGACUCCUUGUUGUCCCCAAUUCACCUGGCCGUGCUGCUGCUCCAGUUUCAACUGUUCUGCCUGCGGCUAUGGAACCCUGACCUGUUCACUGUGAUUACUAUUAUUUGACCAUGCUGGUCAUUUAUGAACAUUUAAACAUCGUGGCCAUGUUAUGUUAUAAUCUCCACCCAGCACAGCUAGAAGAGGACUGGCCAUCCCUCAUAGCCUGGUUCGUCUCUAGGUUUCUUCCUAGGUUUUGGCCUUUCUAGGGAGUUUUUCCUAGCCACCGUGCUUCUACACCUGCAUUGCUUGCUGUUUGGGGUUUUAGGCUGGGUUUCUGUACAGCACUUUGAUAUAUCAGCUGGUGUAAGAAGGGCUAUAUAAAUACAUUUGAUUUUAUUUGAUUGUAGAAUUUAACAGCUUUUUUCUGGACUUUGAUAACUAGUGGGUAUAGUCUUAAGUCUGCUCUGCAUGCAUUGUUUGGGGUUUUGCGUUGUACACUAAGUAUUAUUUUGCAGAAUUCUGCAUGCAGAGUCUCAAUUGGGUGUUUUUCCCAUUUUGUGUAUUCUUGUUUGGUGAGUGGAACCCAUACCUCACAACCAUAGAGGGCAAUGGGUUCUAUAACCGAUUGAAGUACUUUUAGCCAGAUCCCAUUUGGGAUGUUGAGCUUUAUGUUCCUUUUGAUGGCAUAGAAGGCCCUUCUUGCCAUGUCUCUUAGAUCGUUCACAGCCUUGUGGGAGUUACCUGUGGUGUUGAUGUUUAGGCCGAGGUAGGUAUAGUUAUUUGUGUGCUUUAGGGCAACGGUGUCUAGAUAUCAUUUUAUUUGGUGUCCUGGCUACUGGACAUUUUUUGGAACACCAUUAUUUUUUGUCUUACUGAGAUUCACUGUCAGGGCCCAAGUCUGACAGAAUCUGUGUAGAAGAGUGCUAGGUGCUGCUGUUGGUCCUCCUUGGUUG